GGCAUAGCUCAGUGGUUGAGCAUCAAACUAUGAAUCAGGAGGUCAUGGUUCAAUUCCCUGUCAGGCCA
Non-coding RNA from Myotis lucifugus (little brown bat), 68 nucleotides. The record is from Rfam. NCBI's taxonomy places the organism in Eukaryota, Metazoa, Chordata, Mammalia, Chiroptera, Vespertilionidae.